AGGAGGAAUAGAAUAGAAGAAGUAAUCUCUUUGUUCUGAUGGCACUCACCAAGAGCACUACAACACGAUCGACAACUGUGUGGUCUGUGGUUGUUGCAUUCCUAGUGCUUGCUAUGAUAUGUUCUACUUUGCGAUCCUGCCAUGCACGCAUUGAACCUAAUAAACCGCCGGUGUGCGUGCGGAUGGAUCCAUGUUUCGAGCGCACUACAUGCUGGGAAAUGUGCGUGGAUAUGGGUUUCCGUGUCCCUCAUCCCCGUUGUAAGGGGAGUGUAGAUCGGCUUUGUUGCUGCCUAGACAGGACCCGUACAACUCAUUGAUGGUUCUCUUCCUGAGCUAUGCAAUGCUGAAUAACUGUAUGCUUGUGAUGAGCGUGUGCUGAUCUUAAUAAAAAAAUAUUUUUUCA
Molecule: long non-coding RNA, 403 nt
Organism: Triticum aestivum (bread wheat)
Lineage: Eukaryota; Viridiplantae; Streptophyta; Magnoliopsida; Poales; Poaceae
Exons: 2
Source: RefSeq, a predicted model, not a curated record